GAGGGAGUAGUAUUAAAGAACCUUCUCAAAAAGUCGUUAAUCGACUUAUGGUUAACAAUGCGGUUCUUGUUAGAUGUUUUUGCAGCGGUAUUGAAUUUGCAAUAAUUCCGACCUGGUUUACAUGGCGUAACUAACAUAAGCAAAAGAUAUUGUCCAUGCAACAUUUGAGUGAAAAAAAAAUCAAUAUCACAACUAUGCACCUAGUGGACCCAAGAAAACUCAAAUGAAUUUCUUUUUCUCGAAAGAUAAACUCAAAUGAAUUUCAAGGAAAGACAAUUUGCAUAAGCUUGAUAGAUAGAUAAAUAGACGAUGGUCAAAAGACAAGCAGA
Molecule: long non-coding RNA, 329 nt
Filed under: Setaria viridis
Lineage: Eukaryota; Viridiplantae; Streptophyta; Magnoliopsida; Poales; Poaceae
Description: long non-coding RNA (SVIR_LNC011426)
Source: RNAcentral